GUCUGGCUGGCUCAGCUGGUGGAGCGUGGGACUUUUGAUCUCAGGGUCGUGGGUUCGAGCCCCACAUUGGGCA
This is a non-coding RNA of Puma concolor (puma), 73 nucleotides long. NCBI's taxonomy places the organism in Eukaryota, Metazoa, Chordata, Mammalia, Carnivora, Felidae. The record is from the annotation of a RefSeq genome assembly.